AGCUAAUUAACCAGAAUUAGCCUUUAAAGCAGAAGAGAAGCCCCCUCAGUCUGUGUGGUUUCCCUCCCUGGUGCUCUGCGACUCCUCCUGACAUCCAGGCAGCUUCCAGCAGACGUGAGGAGGUGAAACGAGGUGAAACGAGCCUCUUCCAGCGACAGCGUCAGGACCUGGUACGACAUCUCUUCCUGACUCCUGCAGUAAGAAUAUUGGCAGUUUGUUGGAGGAUCGCGCUGCUGAGGGCGGCUCGGGUGAAGGAAGCGAGGGGUGAGAUCCUCCUCUUAAACAUUUUGUCUCCUCGCUGCUCCUUCAGGACAGAGAGACGAGCAGUGAGUCUUUCUGUGGAGGUGAGGAGAGUUGCCAGCGGCUCACUGCUCCGGACUAAUGAGCCAUCUGGGCCUGGCAAUGUACUUUGGCACCAGAGUCACACAUGUCCUCGCAGGGAUGACACUCGCCUGCAUGGCCUCAGACCCAAUGAAAUGCAUGCUGGGUGUAACAGGGUUAAUAAAGCAUGCCUACAUGUGAACUCUCUGCAGUGCAGGCUGAUAAUAAAUGAAGAGAACAGAGAUGUGCUGCAUAAAAACAGGAGCUGCCUGUAAAUACCUGCUGUGGAAGUUCAUCCUGACCUGAGGGCAGACGCACCAUCAUGUCGACGCCUUUAAUAAACCAAACAGCCAGUAAAUAA
This is a long non-coding RNA of Acanthopagrus latus (yellowfin seabream), 682 nucleotides long. RefSeq lists it as uncharacterized. The transcript is spliced from 3 exons. The record is from RefSeq and is a predicted model, not a curated record. Lineage: Eukaryota; Metazoa; Chordata; Actinopteri; Spariformes; Sparidae.